CCAGACUCCUACGGGAGGCAGCAGUGAGGAAUAUUGGUCAAUGGGCGCAAGCCUGAACCAGCCAAGUCGCGUGAGGGAAGACGGCCCUACGGGUUGUAAACCUCUUUUGCCGGGGAGCAAGCCUGAGCACGUGUGCCCAGGCGGAGAGUACCCGGAGAAAAAGCAUCGGCUAACUCCGUGCCAGCAGCCGCGGUAAUACGGAGGAUGCGAGCGUUAUCCGGAUUUAUUGGGUUUAAAGGGUGCGCAGGCGGCGUGUAAGGGAGGGGGUAAAGGCCGGGGGCCCACCCCCGGCGAGCCGUUGAAACUGGCGGGCUGGAGUUGGAGAGAAGUACGCGGAAUGCGCGGUGUAGCGGUGAAAUGCUUAGAUAUCGCGCAGAACCCCGAUUGCGAAGGCAGCGUACCGGCUCCACACUGACGCUGAGGCACGAAAGCGUGGGUAUCGAACAGGAUUAGAUACCCUUGUA
Molecule: ribosomal RNA, 464 nt
Filed under: uncultured bacterium
Lineage: Bacteria
Description: bacterial SSU rRNA
Rfam family: Bacterial small subunit ribosomal RNA
Source: RNAcentral